This 253-nucleotide ribosomal RNA is filed under the name uncultured prokaryote. RNAcentral's name for it is "partial 16S ribosomal RNA". It matches the Rfam family "Bacterial small subunit ribosomal RNA", at positions 524 to 776 of the family's 1533-position model. The record is from RNAcentral.
UACAGAGGUCCCGAGCGUUGUUCGGAUUCACUGGGCGUAAAGGGUGCGCAGGUGGCCUGUCAAGUUUGAUGUGAAAGCCCCGGGCUUAACCCGGGAAUGGCAUUGAAUACUGGCGGGCUGGAGGAUUGGAGGGGGGACUGGAAUUCUUGGUGUAGCAGUGAAAUGCGUAGAUAUCGAGAGGAACACCAGUGGCGAAGGCGAGUCCCUGGACAACUCCUGACACUGAGGCACGAAAGCUAGGGGAGCAAACGGG